GACGAACGCUGGCGGCGUGCUUAACACAUGCAAGUCGAACGGAAAGGCCCUGCUUUUGUGGGGUGCUCGAGUGGCGAACGGGGGAGUAACACGUGAGUAACCUGCCCUUGACUUUGUGAUAACUUCAGGAAACUGGGGCUAAUACCGGAUAGGAUCUCCUGCUGCAUGGUGGUGGUUGGAAAGUUUCGGCGGUUGGGGCUGGACUCGCGGCUUAUCAGCUUGUUUGGGGGGUAGUGGCUUACCAAGGCUUUGACGGGUAGCCCGCCUGAGAGGGUGACCGGCCACAUUGGGACUGCGAUACGGACCAGAAUCCUACGGGCGGCAGCAGUGGGGAAUAUUGCACAAUGGGGGGAAGCCUGAUGCAGAAACGCCGCGUGCGGGAUGACGGCCUUCGAGUUGUAAACCGAUUUCGCCUGUGACGAAGCGUGAGUGACGGUACUGGGUAAAGAAGCCCCGGCUAACUACGUG
RNAcentral lists this ribosomal RNA (468 nucleotides) under uncultured bacterium. RNAcentral's name for it is "partial 16S ribosomal RNA". It matches the Rfam family "Bacterial small subunit ribosomal RNA", at positions 28 to 507 of the family's 1533-position model. The record is from RNAcentral.